GUCCACGUGGCAGUGGACCAGAGCCAGAAGCCUGCGAGGCCAAUGGCGGCAGCCGACCAAAAUCUCGUCACCAUGACGAGCAAGCCGGCCGC
RNAcentral lists this small RNA (92 nucleotides) under Rhizobium subbaraonis. RNAcentral describes it as "Rhizobium sp. JC85 Rhizobiales sRNA Atu_Ti1". It matches the Rfam family "Rhizobiales sRNA Atu_Ti1". Lineage: Bacteria; Pseudomonadati; Pseudomonadota; Alphaproteobacteria; Hyphomicrobiales; Rhizobiaceae. The record is from Rfam by way of RNAcentral.